Molecule: ribosomal RNA, 404 nt
Filed under: uncultured bacterium
Lineage: Bacteria
Description: bacterial SSU rRNA
Rfam family: Bacterial small subunit ribosomal RNA
Source: RNAcentral
GGCGAACGGGUGAGUACACGUGGGUCAACUGCCCUCAGCUCUGGGAUAACUCCAAGAAAUUGGUGCUAAUACCGGAUGUGACCGCUGACCGCAUGGUCUGGUGGUGGAAAGAUUCAUCGGCUGAGGAUGGGCCCGCGGCCUAUCAGCUUGUUGGUGGGGUGAUGGCCUACCAAGGCGACGACGGGUAGCCGGCCUGAGAGGGUGACCGGCCACACUGGGACUGAGCACACGGCCCAAACCUCAAUACGGGAGCGGGAAUAUGCGCAAUGGGCGANAGCCUGACGCAGCCGACGCCGCGUGAGGGAUGACCGGCUUCGGGUUGUAAACCUCUUUCAGUAGGGACGAAGCGCAAGUGACGGUACCUACAGAAGAAGCACCGGCCAACUACGUGCCAGCCGCCGCGG